Oncorhynchus tshawytscha (Chinook salmon) is the source of this 1170-nucleotide long non-coding RNA. NCBI's taxonomy places the organism in Eukaryota, Metazoa, Chordata, Actinopteri, Salmoniformes, Salmonidae. The record is from Ensembl.
CCUGUCCCGCAAUGGACGGCCCAAGAAACCCUGAGGAUGGAGGGAUGGAGAGGCCCAAGAAACCCUGAGGAUGGAGGGAUGGAGUACAGAGAAACCCUUAGGAUGGAGAAGUACAGAGAAACUCUGAGGAUGGAGGGAUGGAGAAGUACAGAGAAACCCUUAGGAUGGAGAAGUACAGAGAAACUCUGAGGAUGGAGGGAUGGAGAAGUACAGAGAAACUCUGAGGAUGGAGGGGUGGAGAAGUACAGAGAAACCCUGAGAAUGGAGAAGUACAGAGAAACUCUGAGGAUGGUGGGAUGGAGAAGUACAGAGAAACCCUGAGGAUGGAGAAGUACAGAGAAACUCUGAGGAUGGAGGGAUGGAGAAGCCCAAGAAACCCUGAGGAUGGAGGGAUGGAGAAGUACAUAGAAACCCUUAGGAUGGAGGGAUGGAGAAGUACAGAGAAACCCUGAGGAUGGAGGGAUGGAGAAGUACAGAGAAACCCUGAGGAUGGAGGGAUGGUGAAGUUCAGAGAAACCCUGAGGAUGGAGGGAUGGAGAAGUACAGAGAAACUCUGAGGAUGGAGGGAUGGAGAAGUACAGAGAAACUCUGAGGGAGUGGGAGAGAGAGAGAGAGAGGUAGAGGUGAAUUGUCUGGCCCAAAAAUAGAGGGAGAAAAAGGGGAGGAAAGAGGCCUGAAAGCUGAACCUGGAGGUGAAAUGUCAGCAGAGAGGGAAAAAAACGAGAGUAUGUUAAUGUAUUCAAUAGAGAAUGUAGGUCUGAGCAGCUGAAAGAACAAAAAAUGCAAAGAAAGGGGAGAUUUGCCCUUUUUCAUCCCUCCUUCCCUGUGUCAGACAGAUCUACUGUCCCGUUCUGCUCCCGACGCCGGCCGCAACGCUUCCCUUCCGGAAUCCUUCUUUAUCCAAUGGCAGAGUGAACAAGUCUGAUCCCGCCCUCCUUUAUUCUUCCUCAAUCCCUCUCUCAGUCCUGCACACCUCCUCAUCCCCCACUCCCUCUCUCUUUCUCUCUCACACACACUCACACUCCCAAACACCGCAGACCUCACACACAACAUGACCUAAACCUAUUAAGACGACUUUCUAUUUCCGUAGCCACCCUCCUCUGUUCAAUACAAGACACUGGGAUGCAAAUGCAAGCCAAAGAGGACCAUCCUGGAGUUUCUCAUUUCAAC